RNAcentral lists this ribosomal RNA (879 nucleotides) under uncultured bacterium. RNAcentral's name for it is "bacterial SSU rRNA". It matches the Rfam family "Bacterial small subunit ribosomal RNA", at positions 25 to 886 of the family's 1533-position model. The record is from RNAcentral.
CAGGACGAACGCUGGCGGCGUGCCUAAUACAUGCAAGUAGAACGCUGAAGAGAGGAGCUUGCUCUUCUUGGAUGAGUUGCGAACGGGUGAGUAAUGCGUAGGUAACCUGCCUUGUAGCGGGGGAUAACUAUUGGAAACGAUAGCUAAUACCGCAUAACAAUGGAUGACUCAUGUCAUUUAUUUGAAAGGGGCAAAUGCUCCACUACAAGAUGGACCUGCGUUGUAUUAGCUAGUAGGUGAGGUAACGGCUCGCCUAGGCGACGAUACAUAGCCGACCUGAGAGGGUGAUCGGCCACACUGGGACUGAGACACGGCCCAGACUCCUACGGGAGGCAGCAGUAGGGAAUCUUCGGCAAUGGGGGCAACCCUGACCGAGCAACGCCGCGUGAGUGAAGAAGGUUUUCGGAUCGUAAAGCUCUGUUGUAAGUCAAGAACGAGUGUGAGAGUGGAAAGUUCACACUGUGACGGUAGCUUACCAGAAAGGGACGGCUAACUACGUGCCAGCAGCCGCGGUAAUACGUAGGUCCCGAGCGUUGUCCGGAUUUAUUGGGCGUAAAGCGAGCGCAGGCGGUUUGAUAAGUCUGAAGUUAAAGGCUGUGGCUCAACCAUAGUUCGCUUUGGAAACUGUCAAACUUGAGUGCAGAAGGGGAGAGUGGAAUUCCAUGUGUAGCGGUGAAAUGCGUAGAUAUAUGGAGGAACACCGGUAGCGAAAGCGGCUCUCUGGUCUGUAACUGACGCUGAGGCUCGAAAGCGUGGGGAGCGAACAGGAUUAGAUACCCUGGUAGUCCACGCCGUAAACGAUGAGUGCUAGGUGUUGGAUCCUUUCCGGGAUUCAGUGCCGCAGCUAACGCAUUAAGCACUCCGCCUGGGGAGUACGAC